Molecule: ribosomal RNA, 253 nt
Filed under: uncultured bacterium
Lineage: Bacteria
Description: partial 16S ribosomal RNA
Rfam family: Bacterial small subunit ribosomal RNA
Source: RNAcentral
UACGUAGGGGGCUAGCGUUGUCCGGAAUCAUUGGGCGUAAAGCGCGUGUAGGCGGUCCGGUAAGUCCGCUGUGAAAGUCGGGGGCUCAACCCUCGAAUGCCGGUGGAUACUGUCGGGCUAGAGUGCGGAAGAGGCGAGUGGAAUUCCUGGUGUAGCGGUGAAAUGCGCAGAUAUCGGGAGGAACACCAAUUGCGAAGGCAGCUCGCUGGGACGUUACUGACGCUGAGACGCGAAAGCGUGGGGAGCAAACAGG